UGUUAUUCAGUGGCGAAGCUCGUUAACGUUAGGUGAAUGCGUACGGUCGCGGUUGCGAAAAUCAAUCUUGUUUUUAAAUUGUCAGAGUAUUAACACACUACAUUUACUCUGUUAACGUUACAUGUACUUAAGAAGCACUUUAGGAUAUAUUUAACAGUUAAAGUGGGUAUUUUUACUUUUACUCGUAACUCGGUGAUAUUUCUAAUGAAAAUGACAUGCACUCAGUUUUGCACGACGCACUUUAUUUUAAUGCAGUACGAAAUGCGAACGUCAGAUUAUUGUUAUUUUUUCAUAAUUUGCCGAAGCAUUUGAUUUGUGAAUGAAUGACUCUUUUGAACGAGUCGAUUCUUCACAAAAGGAAUUACUGUUUUGUACCGGGUCGAUUCUAAAAUAGGUAUUGUUUGAACGGUUUGAAUCAAUUUGAAUGAUUUGUUCCGCUGCAAGAUCUGAAUCAUCUGUACAUCUGCAGCACUUCUCUCUCGUAACGUCGUGAAACUUAAAAACACGCCAAUAGGAGUGUUAGAUGAAGUGGAUGCAAGUGAACUAUCAAUCUACUGAAACAAAAGCGGUAAAUGUAUUCGAAGAAGAAAAUGCUCGCGCGACCUGUGCGUCAGACCCGGAUAAACGCACGCGAGCUGACAAAAUCCUUAGUAGCUGUUAUUCAAUACCAUAUGCUCUUAAGGACAACGCCCUGAUGUCCAAGGUCAAUCAGCAAGAAGCUGAGAAGGCACUGUCAAAAUGGUUCACUGGGGCAAGGGACAGAGGAGGACAGAGAGCAUCAAGAAUGCAGAAAAGGAUGUCUAUUUGAGAAAGGUUAUAACUACAGUUGCUGAUUUGAACUGUCAUAGUUCUUUUAUUUUUCUUAAAGGAAAACCUUUUUCAAUAUUUUACCAUGUUCUUCCCUCAACUUAGAUGAAUUGAUACAUACCUCUAUUUUCUCAAUGCGUGCACUUAAAGGUGGGGUGCACAAUUUCUGAAAAAUAAAGUUUUGGAAAAGGGAGUCGGGCCGACUACCAAAACACACUUGUAGCCAAUCAGCAGCAUGUCUACUAACUGACAUCGUUUCCUGCGUUGCGUAUUUGUGGGGCGGGUCUAUCAAAAAAGGUCCAGAUUCUAUUAGUGUAAGGGUGUGUUUGUUUAGAUGAUUUCAAAUGUAAACAUUGGCUUUCAUGCACCCUGCCUUUAUUUGUUGUGAAUUGUGGCGUGAAUAUGUUAGCAUUUAGCCUAGCACCUUUCAUUCAUUAAGAUCCAAACAGGGAAGAAUUUAAAAGCCACCAAACACGUCCAUGUUUUCUAGGGGUGCACGAUUCAGAAAAUUUCACGAUUCGAUUCCGAUUUUUGGGCUCAAGAUUCGAUUAAAAAAAAACCGAUUUUCGAUUCAAAAACGAUUCUUGAUUUUAACAAACGAUUCACAUUAUGUAAAUGUAGUUUACUUUUUCCUAUGUGACUGAUUGAAGUAGAUAUACAAUUUUAAAGAAAAGAAACACAACAAGCUAAAUGUAGUUGUAUGUAUGAUGUCUUUAUGCAAAAAUAAAAACUGUUAUGAAGCAAUUAGAUGACCCCUUUUAUCAAACUCUAUUAAAUACAAUAAUAUAGAACAUUAAUGAUAGACAGUGCAGGUCUAUAGAUUAUAAAUGUGACUGGUGUUAUAAUGGUUAUUAUUUCUAUUAGAUAGGCACUUUUCCUGCUUCUGCUCUUUCUAUCUAUUUCUCUCUUGCCGAUUUAAAAAAGCUAAAUCCACUCAUUAUUUCAGAUUGAAAAGUCUACUUGCUGUUAGUGACAGGGGACUUUACAUUACAGCUUUGGGUUUUGUAAAUCUUGAGUCAGCUUGAGUUUUGCUCAUUCAGUGCAAUAGAUUUUGGAAAAGAUAUGGUUUAUUAAUAAUAAUAGAAAAGACAGGGUUCCCGCGGGGUCUUAAAAAGUCUAAAAUUCAGAAUGUUAAAUUUAAGGCCUUAAAAAGUCUUAAAAACACCCAGAUUUUUAUCCCAGGUCUUAAAUUUAAUUUACCCGAGUCUUAAAUUUCUUACCUCUUUUCAUUCCCGAAAAGCGUUGUCGGCAGAAAAUAAAAUAGUAAUUUAAAACGCUGAAGAACUAACUUAAUGGCGGAGGCAGAAAGUGUAUGAUGGUGGGUCUCUAAAAAGAAACGUUCCGCCCUUUGCAAAUCGUGCCAUAACAGGGUACCCGCGGAGUCUUAAAAGUCUUGAAAAAGCAUUGAAUUUCAUUUUCCCAUAUUAAGGCCUUAAAAGGUAUUGAAUUUCACCUCAAAGUCUUGAAUUUUUCACGGAGGUCUUAAUUUUUCAAAUGAUCAAUAGAUUUAUAUGCUGUUAAUUCAGAUACAAAACUCACGUGCACGAAAACCACGCGCGAGUGAUAGAUACGAGCGCAGAACACUAUCCAUGUUUGGAACAGCAUCUUAGCGAGCGCGCAGAACACUAUUCGCGCGCUGAAAAACGUC
Molecule: long non-coding RNA, 2455 nt
Organism: Paramisgurnus dabryanus
Lineage: Eukaryota; Metazoa; Chordata; Actinopteri; Cypriniformes; Cobitidae
Source: RefSeq, a predicted model, not a curated record